UACAUGACUCUCGGCAACGGAUAUCUCGGCUCUUGCAUCGAUGAAGAAUGUAGCGAAAUGCGAUACUUGGUGUGAAUUGCAGAAUCCUGUGAACCAUCGAGUCUUUGAACGCAA
This 114-nucleotide ribosomal RNA is filed under the name Drimys winteri. RNAcentral's name for it is "5.8S ribosomal RNA". It matches the Rfam family "5.8S ribosomal RNA", at positions 1 to 109 of the family's 154-position model. Rfam says of the family: 5.8S ribosomal RNA (5.8S rRNA) is a component of the large subunit of the eukaryotic ribosome. It is transcribed by RNA polymerase I as part of the 45S precursor that also contains 18S and 28S rRNA. RNAcentral also lists the same sequence under 8 other names. Lineage: Eukaryota; Viridiplantae; Streptophyta; Magnoliopsida; Canellales; Winteraceae. The record is from RNAcentral.